AGCGAACGCUGGCGGCAGGCCUAACACAUGCAAGUCGAACGAAUCCUUCGGGGUUAGUGGCGGACGGGUGAGUAACACGUGGGAACGUGCCCUUUGGUUCGGAACAACUCAGGGAAACUUGAGCUAAUACCGGAUGUGCCCUUCGGGGGAAAGAUUUAUCGCCAUUGGAGCGGCCCGCGUCUGAUUAGCUAGUUGGUGAGGUAAAGGCUCACCAAGGCGUCGAUCAGUAGCUGGUCUGAGAGGAUGAUCAGCCACAUUGGGACUGAGACACGGCCCAAACUCCUACGGGAGGCAGCAGUGGGGAAUAUUGCACAAUGGGCGGAAGCCUGAUGCAGCGACGCCGCGUGAGGGAUGACGGCCUUCGGGUUGUAAACCUCUUUCAGCACCGACGAAGCGAGAGUGACGGUAGGUGCAGAAGAAGCGCCGGCCAACUACGUGC
This 439-nucleotide ribosomal RNA is filed under the name uncultured bacterium. RNAcentral describes it as "bacterial SSU rRNA". It matches the Rfam family "Bacterial small subunit ribosomal RNA", at positions 29 to 508 of the family's 1533-position model. The record is from RNAcentral.